UCGGAUUGUAGUCUGCAACCCGACUACAUGAAGCUGGAAUCGCUAGUAAUCGCAGGUCAGCAUACUGCGGUGAAUACGUUCCCGGGUCUUGUACACACCGCCCGUCACACCAUGGGAGCCGGAAAUGCCCGAAGCCAGUGACCCAACCUUAGGGAGGGAGCUGUCGAAGGUGGAGCCGGUAACUGGGGUGAAGUCGUAACAAGGUAAC
RNAcentral lists this ribosomal RNA (208 nucleotides) under uncultured bacterium. Its description in RNAcentral is "partial 16S ribosomal RNA". It matches the Rfam family "Bacterial small subunit ribosomal RNA", at positions 1293 to 1500 of the family's 1533-position model. The record is from RNAcentral.